GCCAGCUGCCAUAUCGCCCUGCAACUCACAACUGGCAGCCCACUGAAGCUCAGCGGGUGUGAGCCUGGUCAGUACCUGGAUGGGAGACCUCCUGGGAAAAACUAAGGUUGCUGCUGGAA
This 119-nucleotide ribosomal RNA is filed under the name Lepisosteus oculatus (spotted gar). The record is from RNAcentral. Lineage: Eukaryota; Metazoa; Chordata; Actinopteri; Semionotiformes; Lepisosteidae.